RNAcentral lists this ribosomal RNA (756 nucleotides) under uncultured bacterium. RNAcentral's name for it is "bacterial SSU rRNA". It matches the Rfam family "Bacterial small subunit ribosomal RNA", at positions 1 to 763 of the family's 1533-position model. The record is from RNAcentral.
AUCGGCCGAUCCCCUUGAGUUGAUCUGGCUCAGGACGAACGCUGGCGGCGUGCUUAACACAUGCAAGUCACGGGGGCCCGCAAGGGCAACCGGCGAACGGGUGCGUAACACGUGAGCAACCUGCCGAUCUGAGGGGGAUAGCCGGCCCAACGGCCGGGUAAUACCGCAUACGUUCUCGAAGAGGAGUCUCUUUGAGAAGAAACCUCCGGGGCAGAUCGAGGGGCUCGCGGCCUAUCAGCUAGUUGGCGGUGUAAUGGACCACCAAGGCUAUGACGGGUAGCUGGUCUGAGAGGAUGGCCAGCCACAUUGGGACUGAGAGACGGCCCAGACUCCUACGGGAGGCAGCAGUGGGGAAUCUUGCGCAAUGGCCGAAAGGCUGACGCAGCGACGCCGCGUGUGGGAUGAAGCAUUUCGGUGUGUAAACCACUGUUGCCCGGGACGAACAUCCUCUUUCGAGAGGACUGACGGUACCGGGUGAGGAAGCACCGGCUAACUCCGUGCCAGCAGCCGCGGUAAUACGGAGGGUGCGAGCGUUGUCCGGAAUCACUGGGCGUAAAGGGCGCGUAGGUGGCCUGUGGAAGUCUGCGGUGAAAGCCCGGCGCUCAACGCCGGGUCGGCCGUGGAUACUCUCGGGCUCGAGCUUACUAGAGGCAGAUGGAAUUCCGGGUGUAGCGGUGGAAUGCGUAGAGAUCCGGAAGACACCGGUGGCGAAGGCGGUCUGCUGGGGUAAUGCUGACACUGAUGCGCGACAGCGUG